AGAUAAUGGCCUACCUUUAGUGUACAUAGUGUUGAUCUCUGCUGCUGCUGCAGGAGCUCUGUUGAUUGCAGUUGCACUCGGGAUCUUCUGCAUCUGCAGGAAACAAAGAAAAAGUGAAAAACAAGGCAAGUAUUUCCUACACCUUUUAAAAACUAUUUUUCAAACUUUCUCUGAAUUUAAAUUGAUAAAUAAUCCUAAAUAUAAUUUAAUCAUGUGAGGGAAAUUUAUUGUUAUAGGUAUUAUACUUUACUUUACAAAAGCGUGUUGUUUAGACUGUCUAAAUGCUUCAUCAGUAUGCUUGAGUUAUUUUGAUGUGCUAAAAGACCAACAGGAAAUGUGUGUGUGUGUGUGUGUGUGUGUGUGUGUGUGUGUGUGUGUGUGUGUGUGUGUGUGUGUGUGUGUGUGUGUGUGUNGUGUGUGUGUGUGUGUAGACAAAUGUGAAUCAAAAAAUUUUAUUUUAGAGACCCUAUCUUAGCUUGAAAAGAAUAUGAUUUGUAUAAAAUACUUAGAAACUCAUCCAGGGGACAUAGUUAGAUACCAUGGACAUAUAUGUUGAACAUUUGUCAUGAUUUGGACUCGAUUAGUGUAUAAAGGCAGACUCAAUUUGUUUCUCUUUUUCGCACUUUACAGCCAUGACUGUAUGACUGUCAACUUUUCUUGCAAGAAAAUAAAUCUUCAAAAGACUUUUUUUCUCAAAAGACCGUUAUUGAAAUAGAAAAUUGCCAUGACAGUUAUUCACAUAAUUUCUGUACUAAAGUUUAUUUUUAUGGAAGGUAAUAAUGAGUGUAGUUAUUUGGUCAUUUCAAUGAUUAGUGAUAUUUCACUUUAAGCUUCAGUAAAAAUUAUAAGCAUGGACUGUAUUUUAAAUAUAACCUUACUUACUCUGCUAGGGCCUUUUUACAUGUGUGAAACAAGUAAUUCAAAAUGAAUAAAUUAUGUUAAAAAUGCAUGUUAAAUUUUUUAAUUCUGUGCACUGAUUGUGUCUUGAUAACACAUUUUGUGAAGAAGCAAGUCUACUUAAGAUCGUGUUCUGUAGUAUUAAUCCAUCUGUCAUUACUGUUCAAACAGUUGAGUCUUGUGAAGAGAUCACUUACGCUGAUCCAACAUUCUACAAAAGAAAAAAACAGAAACUGAAAGUUAAAGAGGAAGAUAAUGUGGUGUAUGCACCUAUCACAACGAGAAGAUGAUCAAACUUUCAUCUUUUCUGAGACCAAGAACCUCCAGCAGCUAUCUCAGAGUCAGAAUCUAUGGUUGAGUUUUGGCAAUGGUGAGAAUCACUAUAUGCAGUACUAAUUUUGUCAAAAUGUUUUGUACACAGAUGGCAUGAUAUAAAUUAGAUGAUGGUUUUCGAUUUUGUUCUAGUUUUAAUGGUCAAAAAAUGAGUCAAAAUGAACCCUGUCUGUUGUCUCAUUUAUUUACUUUUGUACAGAGAUGUGGUUUGAUCUGUUGGUGGACAAACAGCUUCAGCAUGAACAUGUUGUUCUAAAGGAAGUUUGUAGUUUAUGUCAGAGUUUGCAUCUGAGGUGUCAAUGUGUCUGUCAGUAGAAUGUGGUUAAAGAGUGUUUUUCCAUUCCUUGCCCAUUUGAUGUGUAGGAAGGCCAAACAGUUGAACUAAAAAAGAAACAUUAACAGAAGAGAGAUUUAACAGCAAAUUAAAAGAGAAAAACACCUGUUCCUAAAUUCCCUCCUCUGACAUCAUUAGCCUACUUGUUAUUGUGAUAUAGGUAAAAGAAACGUUUGGGCCCCUUUGCCUACUAUGUACUUUUACCACCAAAAAAAAAAAAAAAAAAAAAAAAAGCAGACAAAAAUGAAUGACUUAAGCCUUUAACCCUUUUACUGGUAAGUUUAAAAUAUUCUACCUGACACCCCAGAGUAAGUUUUUUUGGGGCGACCAUUAUUUUAGAACGUUUCUCCUUAUUGUUUCCACGGCGAUGCGUCAUGCUUGUCACAUGUUACAUUACAGCUACAAAUACAUUGUAUGACAAAUGUAUUGCUUUUUUUUAGUUUUUCCUUUUUUAUUCAAAAUAUUCACACACUUGCUUACCAUGUCAUCACCUAUCUGAUAUUCUGUUUCACAAAUAUAUGUGAGUGUAUUUUGUCAUUUAAAAACCUUUAUAACUGAUCUUG
Cyprinus carpio (common carp) is the source of this 2127-nucleotide long non-coding RNA. The record is from Ensembl. Lineage: Eukaryota; Metazoa; Chordata; Actinopteri; Cypriniformes; Cyprinidae.